This 3042-nucleotide long non-coding RNA is filed under the name Olea europaea subsp. europaea. The record is from RNAcentral. Lineage: Eukaryota; Viridiplantae; Streptophyta; Magnoliopsida; Lamiales; Oleaceae.
AAAGAGUUCAAAUUCAAAUUGAACACUUCAACCUUCAAAGGCUUGAUUCAUUGAAUGGUCAAAUGGAUAAGGUUUUUAAUUCAAGUUGUAUACUCAACUUAUGCAAGUUGGAAAUUAACAAAGACAGCAGCCAUAAAAUGUUCUGGAAUCUGGAAAUUAAAGUAGCAGCUAAUUCAUAUUUCAAUAUUCAAACAAGCGAGCUGGAAUCUGAAAAUAAACAUCAGGCAGCCAUCAUUCAUAUUCUGUCCAGCAAAACACGACUGUAAUUGAAGAGAUAAUAGCUGCAAAUGGAAAAGAAAAACAGCAUUUAUCUGGUUGUAAUUGUAGAAAAUUCUUAGGACUAGUUUACUCAAUGUUUUCUAUAAAUAUGAAGGCACCUAUCUAGUGUCAUGUAUGCAGAAGAAGUGAGGAGAAACCUCUCAAAAUAGAAAGAAGAGUGUGCUGUAGCAACUCCUUUGUAAUCCCCCAAAUUUCAUUAGUAAAAUCUCAUAUUUCUCCAAUCUCUAUCCUUCUACAUCCAACAAAUUUUGGUACAGAGCUUAGGUAAUAUUCAUAAACCCAUUCCUACCAAAUUCCUACCAAAAGCUGAGAUAAAACCAGCCUCAAAAGACCAUAAUACCAGCAGAUUUUUUAACAAAAACAAGGAAAUUUUAGCAACAAAUUCAGCAGCCUCCUUGUUCACUUAUUCACCAAGUCAAGUGCCAAUCUUUGAAGGUGAGCACUAUGAAUAUUGGAGUAGUCAAAUGCAAACUUUUUUCAUCUCUUUAGAUUUAUGGGAAGUCAUUGAAGAUGAUGAGGUGGUAGACGAUUCAACCGAAGGAGAUGAAGAAGAUCCAAAGUUACAAAAGGAAUAUAAAAAGAAAGAUGCAAUGGUGUUGCAAUAUAUUCAACAAGGAGUUGGAAAAUCAAUUUUUCCUCGUAUAUUUGGUGUUAAAAAAGCCAAAGAUGCAUGGAAAAUUUUAAAUCAAGAAUUUCAAGGUUUGGAGAAAACUGUCGCUUUGAAACUUCAAUCUUUAUGGAAAGAUUUUGACAAUCUCAAAAUGAAAGAACGAGAGUCGGUUCGUGAUUUCUCUUCACGAGUUUUGGAGAUUGUAAAUCAAAUCAAAAGUUGUGGAGAUAUAAUUAAAGACAAAAGAGUUGUUGAAAAAGUACUUCGAUGUCUCCCUUCAAAAUUCGAUCAUGUAGCUGCCGCAAUUGAAGAAUCAAAGGAUUUGUCUAAAAUGACCAUGUACGAGUUGAUCGGAUCGCUUCUUGCACAUGAGCAAAGAAUCAAUCGUUCGGCUAGUCAAUCAACCGAACAAGCCUUCCAAUCAAAGCAAGCAUUAAAAAUAACUUCAAGCAAUCAUGGAGGUUCAAACAAUAAAAAGGGAAAGUUUAGCAAGUGGAGUCAAAAUAAAAAGCAAAGCAAUUGGAAAGCCAAGGCACCACAAUAAUCCGGUAAGGCUCAAUCUUGCAUUAUUUGCAAAAAGAACAAUCAUGAAUCAAAAGAUUGCUAUUUUAAAUGCAAAAGAUGCAAGGUACCUAGUCAUUCUCAAAAAGAUUGUUGGUUUCAAAAUAAGGAGAAAAAUGAAGAUGCGGCAAAUUUUUUAAAAAAAAGUGAAGAUGAAAUUCUAUUUUAUUCUCAUCAAAAUGAUGACUUUGAAUCCAAGAAUAAAUGGUAUUUGGAUAGCGGCGCUAGCAAUCACAUGACAGGAAAUAAAGAUACCUUUGUAGAGAUCAAUCCAAAUAUCACUUCUCAAAUUAUUCUCGGAGAUGGAACACAAAGAAGAGCAGAAGGAAAAGGCAUCAUUGCAGUCCAAACUAAGGGAGGUAACAGAGAACUUAUUACUGAUGUUCUUUGUGUGCCAAAUCUUUCAUAUAAUAUCUUAAGUAUUAUACAACUCUUGCAAAAGAAUUUUUCGGUGCACUUUGAUGAUGAAAGAUGCAAGAUCUUUGAUAAAAAGAAAAAUGUCAUAGUGGCAAAUGUUGAAAUGAAAAACAAAACCUUUUGUUUCAUGUUGCCACUAGACAACAAUUGUGCACUCAAAGCUCAAAAUGCAGAUUUGUCACUUCUAUGGCAUUUGCGAUAUGGUCAUUUAAAUGGCAGAGGACUUCAACUGCUCGAGAAGAAAAAUAUGGUGAUCGGACUUCCUGAAAUUCAAAGGACAGACAAAGUGUGUGAAGGUUGCAUCUAUGGAAAAUGCAUAAGCUUCCAUUUCCUAAAACUUCAUGGCGAGCUAAAAUGCCAUUGGAGCUUGUUCAUUCAGAUAUUUGCGGACCAAUGCAAACUCCUACUCCUGGAAAUAAGAGGUAUUUCAUUCUCUUUGUUGAUGAUUACACAAGGAUGAUGUGGAUUUUCUUUUUGAAUCAAAAAUCUGAGACAUUCUCUAUUUUUCUAAAGUUUAAAGCACUUGCAGAAAGACAAAGUGGAUUUCUAAUAAAGAUGUUGAGGACUGAUCGUGGAGGAGAAUUUUCCUACAAUCCCUUUAUUGAAUAUUUCAAAGUUAAUGGCAUUCAAAGGCAGCUAACAGUUAGUAGAAGUCUAUAACAAAAUGGAGUGGCUAAGAGAAAGAAUCGCACUAUUGUCGAAAUGGCAAGAAGCAUGCUAAAAGGUAAAGGAAUUCCAAAUCUUUAUUGGGCAGAAGCUGUAAACACGACAGUAUAUAUUCUCAAUCGUCCGCCUACAAAAGCUGUCAGAAAUAAAACUCCGUUCGAGGCAUGGCACAAAAAGAAGCUAAAGGUAGACCACUUUAAAACUUUUGGUAGCAUUGCCUAUGCCUUCGUUCCAUCACAAAACAGAGAGAGGUUUGAUGAGAAAGGACAGAAACUUCUAUUCAUUGGAUAUAGUGACGAGUCUAAAGGAUAUCGUUUACUAAAUCCCACUCGUCACUAUAUCCAAAGACAAAUAAAAUAACAAUUUCUCGAGAUGUUGUGUUCGAUGAAAGUACAACUUAUGAUUGGAAAGGAAAGCAAGUCAUGGAUUCCAAACCCUAUCAAUUUGAUGAUCCAUCGACAUCUCAAAUCCCCAACACUGAACAGCUUACAGCUCCAAAUAUUCCAACA